This 272-nucleotide ribosomal RNA is filed under the name uncultured Staphylococcus sp. RNAcentral's name for it is "partial 16S ribosomal RNA". It matches the Rfam family "Bacterial small subunit ribosomal RNA", at positions 90 to 354 of the family's 1533-position model. The record is from RNAcentral. Lineage: Bacteria; Bacillati; Bacillota; Bacilli; Caryophanales; Staphylococcaceae.
CGUUAGCGGCGGACGGGUGAGUAACACGUGGGUAACCUACCUAUAAGACUGGGAUAACUUCGGGAAACCGGAGCUAAUACCGGAUAAUAUUUCGAACCGCAUGGUUCGAUAGUGAAAGAUGGUUUUGCUAUCACUUAUAGAUGGACCCGCGCCGUAUUAGCUAGUUGGUAAGGUAACGGCUUACCAAGGCGACGAUACGUAGCCGACAUGAGAGGGUGAUCGGCCACACUGGAACUGAGACACGGUCCAGACUCCUACGGGAGGCAGCAGAC